RNAcentral lists this transfer RNA (82 nucleotides) under Ixodes scapularis (black-legged tick). It matches the Rfam family "tRNA". From Rfam's summary of the family: Transfer RNA (tRNA) molecules are approximately 80 nucleotides in length. Their secondary structure includes four short double-helical elements and three loops (D, anti-codon, and T loops). Lineage: Eukaryota; Metazoa; Arthropoda; Arachnida; Ixodida; Ixodidae. The record is from Rfam by way of RNAcentral.
GCAGUCGUGGCCGAGUGGUUAAGGCGAUGAACUAGAAAUCCAUUGGGGUCUCCCCGCACAGGUUUAAAUCCUAUCGACUGCG